CUCAGACUCAGUGUCCUCCACAGAAGGUUGCAGACUCUUCCUAUAGUAACAACAUAAACACUCCUCCUUCCAGGUUCUGGUGGUCACUCCUUCACUUGGCCUAAAGACAGGAAUUGCUUGCAUGUUACUUCUGUUUCUUGUGUUUCCACAUUUUGUUGACAAUCUUCUUUUUUUUUAAAUUUUUUUUAGUUGCUCAAAGCAUUACAAUGAUCUUGACAUAUCAUACAUUUGAUUCAAAUGGGAUACGUAAUCUUAUUUUUCCACGUGUACAGGUUGCAGGAUCACAUUGGUUAUACAGACAAUCUUCUUAUUCCUUCUUUUAUUUAUCCAAUUUGUCACCUGUUUCCAGUUGGGACCCAGAUUUAUUAAAUUUGGAAGACAAACCUUUUCACUGUCAAUUCCCUUAGGAAUCUAGGUGUACUUGGCAUUAAUAAGACUUUAAGAGCGAAUUGUCAAGAAAAUAGAGUGAGGGAAUAUGUUCUGACUACAUACCAGGCACUAUGAAAGACCUUUAAAAUACAAAGCUAUGCUUCCAACUCAGAGGCAUCUAUAAAUUAGAAUCUUGAAAGGUGGAGAACUUGGGGAGUUCUUUUCUUUGGGACAUUAAUUCAUCCAUCAACCAUUUAUUGCUCACACAAAACUCCAUGCUAGGUGCUGCAGUUUACAACUGGAAAAGUACCUUACAACUUAUUGCCUCCAUGUUCCAAAAAUCCUCUCCAUUUAACAGACAGAACAAUGGAUAUCAAAGAAGUCAUAUAUUUUAACCAUGUCUAAUGUUUAAAAAGUAUUAAUUGAACUUAGGUAUUCUGACUCCAAGUUUUAUAGAUUUCCACUGUAUUGCAUGUGCAUGAAAAAAAUUUCCUCCUUUUGUCUCCUUAUGAAAAGCAGAACACAUUUAAUAUUCAAAUUAGUGUGAACAAGUACCAAGGCAGAAGUGGGGAUAAAAAGUGUUCACCUUCAGAGAAUGUAGAGAGCACUUCUGGUGAGGCAAUUAGAACAGGCUUCUUGGAAAAGGCACUGGAAGUCUAGUUUAGCCAAAGUAGGCACAUGGAAUGCUAGGGGUGCUCAGAUCACAGAACACCAUGGAAUGCUAAACUAGGGAGUCAGUAUUUUUUUAAAAAAGUGUUUGAUCAAGAUGUAGCAUCAGUCUAGAUAAGGAAGAGAGAUGGAAGGGAAAGAGAGG
This 1183-nucleotide long non-coding RNA is filed under the name Marmota monax (woodchuck). Lineage: Eukaryota; Metazoa; Chordata; Mammalia; Rodentia; Sciuridae. The record is from RNAcentral.